Molecule: ribosomal RNA, 253 nt
Filed under: uncultured bacterium
Lineage: Bacteria
Description: partial 16S ribosomal RNA
Rfam family: Bacterial small subunit ribosomal RNA
Source: RNAcentral
GACCGAGGGUGCAAACGUUGUUCGGAUUUACUGGGCGUAAAGCGCGUGUAGGCGGCUUUGCAAGUCGGAUGUGAAAUCCCACGGCUCAACCGUGGAAGUGCAUCCGAAACUGCAUCGCUGGAGUCUCGGAGAGGAAGGUGGAAUGCUUGGUGUAGAGGUGAAAUUCGUAGAUAUCAAGCGGAACACCGGUGGCGAAGGCGGCCUUCUGGACAGUGACUGACGCUGAGACGCGAAAGCGUGGGGAGCAAACAGG